CGGCACCUAAGAGGCAGACUCGUUGGCCAAUUGGAUUCAUGUCACGUAGUACAGAUUCACACCACAAUGAUUCAUAGUCAAUUCCAUCCCAUCAACCAAUCCCAAAUCCAGUCCCGUCACAUCCCCAGCAUCCUGAAGAGGACUUGAUCCACUCACAAUCCAACCCCCAUGACUCACGUAGUCAGCAAGGUACAAGCUCCAUGUCAUCUACAGCCAAAAAAGGAAAAGGAAUAUCAAGACAAAUUUUAAAGUGGGGAAAGGAAAAGAUUCAUAUUGAAUUUGAUACUGAAGGACAACCAGUUGGGGAGAUGGCAACUAAGUUGGAAACCCAACUAGGUGUGAUGGUAAAGAGUAUUGUUCCCCUUACAUUUAUUGAUUGGAGGUCAUCAGGGAUGGAACCAUAUAAGGAGCGUAUCUGGCAAGAGGAUAACACUGAUGUACCCAUAACAUGGAGAUCAAUUUACUUGCAACAUUCUUCCAAGAAGUGGAGAGAGUACAAAGCCACCUUGAAGAGGCAUUAUGUUGCCAUAAGACAGAUGCGGCUCAUCUGUCAAAAAUACUGCCUGGGAUGGACCCAGAACAGUGGAAAGUUCUUGUGAAGUAUUGGGGAUGUGAGCAAGCACAGGUAUGUAUGAUAGAUACAUCAGAUGGAUUCUCUAUACCUAGUUCUAAUAUCAUAUUACAAGUAGGAACGUAGUGCGACAAAUCGUGCCAAUCGAGAUAAGCAAAAGAUGGGUCACAUCAGCGGUAGGUGAUCACAUCCUCAGGUUAGGCACUAGGUAAGAAUAUAAUGGAUAUUAAUUAUAUAUAUUUAUUGAUAAUUUAAUUAGUAAUGCCUAAACUUUAAACAUUUAAUAUAUUUCAUCUCUUAUAUAUGUUUUUAGAUGACUAUUGAAAGUGGAGAUGAGCCAGAUAGAAUCAAGCUUAUUAAAAAGACACACACCAAAAAGAGCAGAGAGAUAGUGGACUCUACAUCUUCUUAUAUAAUUGUAUAUCUUUCUAAAAUUUGAAAGUUGUAGAUAUAUUUUGUUUCUUUCACUUGUCAACUUAUGUAACUAACUUGUGACAUGUUUAUUGAGGAACAAAUGGAUGAAAGAUUGUCACAAAUACCUAGUGAUGAACAAACUCCAGAUUUGUUAGAGGAUGUCUUUACUCAAAUAUUAGGCAAAGAUGGGCAUGGCAGGGUACGUAUGGGAGGACUUGGAACAUGCCCAACUAAGGUUAGACAAAAACAACAGUAUCAGGUGCCCCAAGAAUAGUAUGACCAAAUGCAUGCGCAAAUUACUGCCGAGCUAGAAGAAAAAUUUCAAGCUCAAAUCCAAAGUCAAGUUCAAAUACAAGUUUGUGCAAUACUUGAGGCAAUGGGACAUACACCACCGGCUCCAAAUAAUAUACCAUAACCAAGACAGCCAUCCUCACAUGCCAGUGCUUCUACCGCACAUGAAAGCACACGACCCGAAGCUGAAUGUGUUGGAUUAUUGACACCAGAAUAUGGUAAUAAUUUAGAGAUCAACAAAAUAUGAUAUUGGGAUUUUGGUUGGAGAAUGGCAUGGUGGCGUAAUCAAGGGUUAUCUGAGGCCACUAGGACAUGAUUUAGUUUAGAGUUGCUUUGUAUGUGCUUUUGUAUGGUAUUGUGUAAUGAGACGAGACAAGAUUGAUCUUUCUAAAUGAUGUUGUAUUUAAAUAGAUUAGUAUACAGUUGUUAUACUUAUU
Long non-coding RNA from Diospyros lotus (date-plum), 1713 nucleotides. RefSeq lists it as uncharacterized. The transcript is spliced from 5 exons. The record is from RefSeq and is a predicted model, not a curated record. Lineage: Eukaryota; Viridiplantae; Streptophyta; Magnoliopsida; Ericales; Ebenaceae.